RNAcentral lists this transfer RNA (76 nucleotides) under Latescibacteria bacterium DG_63. RNAcentral's name for it is "tRNA-Phe". It matches the Rfam family "tRNA". From Rfam's summary of the family: Transfer RNA (tRNA) molecules are approximately 80 nucleotides in length. Their secondary structure includes four short double-helical elements and three loops (D, anti-codon, and T loops). RNAcentral also lists the same sequence under 1 other name. The record is from RNAcentral. Lineage: Bacteria; Pseudomonadati; Candidatus Latescibacterota.
GCGACCCUAGCUCAGUUGGUAGAGCACCAGACUGAAAAUCUGGGUGUCCGCAGUUCGAUUCUGCGGGGUCGCACCA